UUCCCAAGUCUGUGAAGAGAGAGAAUAAAGGCUGACCAUACCAUUUCUAGCCACAGGAAUGAGGUCAUCAGCUGCAGCUGUUCAUCCUGUGGAAAGAAUUUCCUGUUUCCAGCUCUGUACUGACCUCCAAGGCCACCUCUGGUUCAGACUUCUUCUGUGCUCCCUUAUCAGGAAGUCAUGAGAUGAC
RNAcentral lists this long non-coding RNA (187 nucleotides) under Chinchilla lanigera (long-tailed chinchilla). Its description in RNAcentral is "lncRNA (ENSCLAG00000025852.1)". The record is from RNAcentral. Lineage: Eukaryota; Metazoa; Chordata; Mammalia; Rodentia; Chinchillidae.